This 6068-nucleotide long non-coding RNA is filed under the name Equus caballus (horse). RNAcentral's name for it is "lncRNA (ENSECAG00000043977.1)". The record is from RNAcentral. Lineage: Eukaryota; Metazoa; Chordata; Mammalia; Perissodactyla; Equidae.
AGAGAAAAACAGUAGUUGUUGUGGGUUGAAUUGUGCCCCCCUCAAAAUCUGUUUAUAUAUGUCUUUCCCAAUAAACAAGGAAUUCCUCCAGAGGCCAUUCAUCUUCAAUGUUUUUGUUUUGUUGAGGAAGAUUGGCCCUGAGCUAAUGUCUAUGCCCAUCUUCCUCUACUUUAUAUGUGGGAUGCUGCCACAGCAUGGCUUGAUAAGCGGUGCGUAGGUCCAUGCCUGGGAUCUGAACCAGCGAACCCCAGAUCGUCGAAGCAGAGCAUGCAAACUUAACAACUGCACCACCAGCCAGCCCCUCAUCUUCAAUCCUAUAGAGGUCUCCAAUUCAUUGACCUCACCACUGUCAAACUCCCCAUCGAGACCUCACUUCUUUUCGUAUCCAGUGCCUGACAACACUUCAAAUGGGGGGUGCUCUAUAUGCCUGGGUUCUGGAAUAAGGAGGACUCAGCAGAACCCCCAGCUGACUCAUGAUAGGUGAGUCAAGUCUACCAGGUGGAGAAGACAGCUGAGAGUACCUCAUGCAGAGAGAGCAUUGUGUAAAAAGGCACAAAGAAGUCUGAGGACACCAAGGUGGGAAUGUAACAUAGCUUGAGCGGAGUGAAGCUUCAAGAAUGAACCUGGAGGAGCAAGUUGGGACUCAUUCAUAAGGGUAUGUAAUGAAACUGAAGCUGGGUGCCUGGGGGUUACUGUAAAUAUUCAAUAAGAACAUGAUUACCUUUCAACCCUGUUCCCAUAACACACAUAGAUGAAAAGAAGUUAAUCUUGUUAAUUUGCUAUUUUCUUGUUUAACCUGAGGGGUGACUCAAGGGUCACAAGGAUUUAUGAGCUUGUUUUGCAGAAGAAAAAGAAUGCCUUCGAGGAAGAUACAAUCACAGAUAACCAGCCCCCAGCUGCCACUGAUGCCCAGAAGUCUGAUUGCCCAGGGGCUUCUCUGGAGUGAAAGAAACACAGAUUACCCCUUUGUUUCUCCAAAACUCCUUCUGCCAAGCCCCUUUGGCAGAAACCACCCGCUGCUUUCUUCUCUCAUUAAGGUGGAUUUGUGAGAGCCUAUCCUCCCACCUUCUCUUUUGGCCAAUUCAGCUAGAUGUUCCUCCAUCCCUGAGUGCUGAGGUCUCAGUGAUUGGUUGACUGCAUCGCAUGCGAACUCCAGGUUAAGAGGUUCGCUAUCAAAAUGACUAGAGUUUAACCUUUGUCAAGGAAGUGAUUUGGAAUCAGUGAAGGUUUUCGAAUAGGAGAUUCUCCCUGUCCCAUUAUCUUUUGGGAAGAUUACUUAGACUUUAGUGUGGAGGCAGGAUGGAAGAAGGGGAGGUGGUUAAGACUUAGACAUGGAGAAAGUUUGGAGAGGGACUUUUCUUAUAGCAUAGGAAAGGAGAGAUGAGGACAUGAACUUUGGUGACAUUAAUGUUUUAUCAUUACAACACUAACAUUUUGGUAGAGAAAAUAUGAAAUUGGGUAGAGAAAAUAUGAAAUUGUGAUUAAGAACUUGGCUCUGAAACUAGGUAUGACAAAGAGAUUGCCACAUAUUGAGGUAUACGGGGUAACUAUUUGAGUUCAAAACUGAGCCAGCUUGAACUAAAAACCCUGACUUAUGGCCUAUCAAAGAUACAUUGUACAUCUGCUUAACCAUUAAAGUAAAGAAUGCACUCUCUUAAGAUAAGAAAGCAUACUUCCAGGUCGGCCUGAUGGCGCAGUGGUUAAGUUUACAUCUGCUUCCGUGGCCUGGGGUUUGCCAGUUCAGAUCCUACGUGCGUACCUAUGCACCACUUGUCAAGCCAUGCUGUGGCAGGCAUCCCACAUAUAAAGUAGAGGAAGAUGGGCACGAAUGUUAGCUCAAGGUUAAUCUUCCUCAAAAAAAAAAAAAAAAGAAUGCAUACUUCCCCUCUUACGCCCUAUUGGUAAUGCCAGGCUUAGUCCCUUUCCUGGCAUCAUGGUCAUGUUGACACGCUAAUUUGCAACUGAAUACCUCUUAGAAAAUUUAUCCUGGGUGUGUUUAAUGUAUCUUCUUUGUCCUAAAAAGAUAUAACACUGUACUGAAACCCAUACUUCUCUGCAACACCUUCUAAGGCCUCCCUCGGUUAUAAUCCUCACUCUGGCUCUUAAUAAACUCACCUCAAUUUUGACUUAUAAAUUGGUUGUGGAUUAUUUGCGUUGACAGGUAGAACCUAGUUUAAAACCCACUUUUGCCUCUACCUGGCUUUAUUACCAGGGCAAGAGUUCCUCAACCUCUUGGCUUCAAAUUUUUCUUUGAAAAUUAAAAUGAUAAUAACAUCUCUUUUUUUAGGUCAUUGUGAGGCUUUCAUUGGAUCAUGCACAUAAAGCACUUAGCAUGAGCCUGGCACAAAGUAAGUGCUCCAUAGGCAGAGGUACAGUGAUCAUGAUGAUAGUGAUAUUGUGGGAAACGGUGUGUGAGACGUAGAUUCAAGUUAGUUCUUCUCAAUCUUAUUCAAUGGUGCAGUGGAAUUCUGGAAACAGAAGAGUCUGAGUCUCAGUACUAUCACUCAUAGCAGUGUCACUUUUGGAAAAGACAGCUGACUUUUUUCUUUUUACUACUUUUUUUAAGAAGACCAUUUCUUUUUAGAGCAGAUUUAGGUUCACAGUAAAAUUAAAAGGAAGGUACAGAGAGUUCCCAUAUACUUCCUAGCCCCACACGUGAACAGCCUCCUGCAUUAUCAACACCCCACACCAAAGUGGUACUUUUGUUCAAUUGAUGGACCUCUGUUGACACAUCACACUCACCCAAAGCCCGUAGUUUACAUUAGGGUUCUCUCUUGGUGUUGUCCAUUCUAUGGGUUUAGAUGAAUGUACAAUGACAUGUAUUUAUCAUUCUAGUAUCAUACAGAGUAUUUUUACUGUCCCCAAAAUCCUCUGUGUUCCACCCAUUCAUUCCUCCAUCUCCACUAACCCCUGGCAACACAGAUCUCGUUACUGGUUCCUUAGUUUUGCCUUUUCCAGGAUGUCAUAUAGUUGGAAUCAUACAGCAUGUAGCCUUUUCAGAUUGGAUUCUUUCACUAGUAAUACGCAUUUAAGAUUCCUCCAUAUCUUUUUCUGGCUUGACAGCUCAUUUAUUUUUAGUGCUGAAUAAUAUUCCAUUGUCUGGAUGUACCACCAUUUAAUUAUCCAUUCACCUACUGAAGGACAUCUCGGUUGCUUCCAAGUUUUGGCAAUUAUGAGUAAAACUGCUGUAAACAUCUGUGAAGUUUUUGUGUGGAUAUAAUUUUAUAGUUUAAAUCCUUUGACUAAAUACCAAAGAACAUCAUGCACUUGAUUGUAUGUUGAGAGUAUGUUUAGUUUUGUAAGAAACCCCCAACUGUUUCCCAAAGUGGUUGUACCAUUUUGCAUUCCCACCAGCAAUGAAUGAGAGUACCUGAUGCUCCACAUCCUCACCAGCGCUUGAUGUCAGUGUUCUGGGUUUUUGCUAUUCUAAUAGGUGUGCGCAGCAGUAUCUUACUAUUGUGUAAUAAUUUGCAUUUCCCUGUGGCGUAUGACACGGAGCAUCUCUUCAUGUGCUUAUUUUCUAUCUGCACAUCUUCUUUGGUGAACUGUCUGCUAAAAUCUUUGGCUCGUUUUUCAAUCGGGAAGACAACCAACUGUUAUGAAGCCCAGUUUCCCUAUCCACAAAAUGGGGGCCUUGCUGCUGGCACCGUCUCCAUCACAGGCUGUUGAGAGCUUCAAGGUGGGGUAAGAUAUGUGAAAACUUUUUGUUAAUGAUGAGAUUCUAAUUACAUGGAAAGUAUUAUUUAUCUGAUUGUCCCUUUAACUGCAAGUCAGCACUAUUCUAUUCUUUGUUGUGUUACUUUAAAUGUCAUUUAAGUUCUAAGAGUAUCAAAUUAGAAAAUUAGAAACCGAAAGAGACCAAUUUUACAACAAAGAAAGUAACAUUCAGCAAGCUCUGAAUUCUUCAAACUCUGUGGCUCCCGGCGUGAACUGGCACAUCUCCCUUCACAAGGGCUGUGGGGCUGCAGUCUUGUUUCCAUGCAGAUGAGAACAAGGGGAUGUGGCUGCCUCAGAGAACCAGACAGGGAACACAGUGAACUGAGAUUCUGCUCCCUGAUCUGCCUGGAUCUGGUUCCCUACCCUGUGCUAAAGGGAGGCAUAGCUUUAAAAGGACAGACGUGUGUGUGUCUGUUCCCUAGUCGUCAGUGACAGCUGUGCUAAUUGAGAGAAACGCCGUGCCAAAUCCACAUUUUAAUAUUUGAGAAUUUACUUCAUAUUAGCUAUACCACUAGUUGCACACCAGGCUGGCUGCAUAAGACUCACUCUGGGGAGAUUACAAACAGUUUUACUCAUUCAAAAAUAUUUAUUAUGUCUCUAACAUGCACUAGUGGGAACACGUACUGUAGACGGGGGAUACAGCAGUGAACAAAACAUAGUGCUGGCUCAUGUGGAGCUUACACCUGAGUGUGGGAAGAUAAGUGAUAAACAAACACAUAAAUAUAUAAUAUGUCAGAUGGUGACAAGUAGUAUAAAGAAAAAUAAAGCAGAUUAAGGGUCACAGAGAUGAUGAAAAUGGGAAUAUGUUAUUUUACACAGUUGGUCAGAGAAGAUCCCUCUGAUAAGGUGACAUAUAAACAAAGGCCUGAAGGAAGUGAGAGAAAAAGGCAUGUGGAUAUCUGGGGGGGGACAUCUGGGCGAAGGGUCAUUAUGCAGAAAGAAUAGCAUGUGCAAAGGUCCUGAGGUAGGAGCAUACUUGUUUUAUUUUAUUUUAUUUUUCUUCUUCAUGAAGCAGCAAUGAGACCAGAAACUGAAGAUGAGUAAGUUUAGGUGGAGGGAGACUUAGUAGAUGGAGCAGAGAUCUAGAGGCUGGGGACAGAGCAACAGGGACCUCUAGACCACAGAAAGGAUUUAGAAUCUAACACUGAGUGAGAUAAGAAGGCGUUGAAAAUUUUGAGCAGAUAAGUGACAAGAUCCGACUUUGGUUUUUAAAGGAUCUUUCUGGGUGUCCUAUAGAAGAGCAUAGACUAUGAGUGAGGGGGCAAGGAUGGAAUCAGGACACUGACCGGUAUGUACCUGCCAUAUUUCAGGUGGGAGAUGAGGGGGUGACCUGGACGAGGGGCUAGUGGUGGAGAUGGCAUAAAUAUUUAUCUUUUUACUUCCUCCUCCACCCACUCCACUUCCAAUUCAGUUGAUUUAGAAUAGAAACUAAGAAUCUGCAUUUUAGAAACAUUCUCUCUUGGGGCUGGCCCAGUGGUGUAGUGGUUAAGUUCACAUGUGCUGGUUCGGAUCCCAUACGCGGACCUAGCACUGCUUAUCAAGCCAUGCUGUGGCAGCAUCCCACAUAAUAAAAUAGAGUAAGAUGGGCACAGAUGUUAGCUCAGGGCCAAUCUUCCUCAGCAAAAAGAAGAGGAUUGGCAGCGGAUGUUAGCUCAGGGCUAUUCUUCCUCAAAAAAAACAAAACCAAAACGUUCUCUAGGUGAGUCUGAGGCCCCGGCAGGUUUCAAAACCAGUGACUCAAAAAUGAGAAAUCACAGCCUCCUUUCCUCUGAGGUCUUCUCCUUGGAUCUCUCUGCCUGCCUCUGUUCUUCCCUCCUCCUCUGGCUCAAGUCUUCUGUCUCAGGCCUCUUGCAUAGCCCUGCUGCCUUUGUUUCCCUUUAUCUGUCCUCCCUGGUGAUUUUCUGCUAUUCUCAACUGGCCAAACCCCAGGCAGCUGCCUGCUCCUGCCCUGGAGAUCACCCCCACACUGCAGCUGGAUUUUUCUUCCCCAGUGCCCUUUCCUUUCAUCUUGUCAUUUUCCUGCCAGAAUCUUUCCUAUGCCUCUGCUCUGCCUCCUAGAGAAAGUCCAAUGUGCCAGCCCCUUACAGUCUGGCCCCUAUCAAUCAUCCUGCCAGUGAGAUCCCCGCCUUGUGCCUGCCCAAAGUCAGCCUCAGCAGGCUAAAGUGAUUUAUUUGCUUGGCUUCAGAAAUAACAUGCAAGUUCCUAUUUCUGCCUCUUUCUUCAUACAAUUUAUCUCAUCAGCUGGGCUAAUCUGUUUUCUUUGUCUUACCAAAUCCUACACAUCCUGCAAAGGCAUUGCACAAAUCCUUAUUAAAAACGUAUUUUUAAAAUGUUUGAAUGGUUAAUACAGG